CAGGAUCCUGAGUACGGCGGAACACGUGAAAUUCCGUCGGAAUCCGGGAGGACCAUCUCCCAAGGCUAAAUACUCCCUAGUGACCGAUAGUGAACCAGUACCGUGAGGGAAAGGUGAAAAGCACCCCGGAAGGGGAGUGAAACAGUUCCUGAAACCGUGUGCCUACAAUUAGUCAAAGCCCGUUAAUGGGUAAUGGCGUGCCUUUUGUAGAAUGAACCGGCGAGUUACGUUUGCUUGCGAGGUUAAGAUGAAAAGUCGGAGCCGUAGCGAAAGCGAGUCUGAACAGGGCGAAUGAGUAAGCAGAUGUAGACCCGAAACCAAGUGACCUACCCAUGACCAGGUUGAAGGUGUGGUGAAACACACUGGAGGACCGAACCCAUGUAUGUUGAAAAAUGCUGGGAUGAGUUGUGGGUAGCGGUGAAAUUCCAAACGAACUUGGAGAUAGCUGGUUCUCUCCGAAAUAGCUUUAGGGUUAGCCUCGGAGGAUGGAUCAUGGAGGUAGAGCACUGUUUGAACUAGGGGCCCAUCAAGGGUUACUGAAUUCAGAUAAACUCCGAAUACCAUCGAUCUUACUCCGGGAGUCAGACAGUGAGCGAUAAGGUCCAUUGUCGAAAGGGGAACAGCCCAGAUCACCAGUUAAGGUCCCUAAAUUUAUGCUAAGUGGAAAAGGAUGUGGCGUUGCACAGACAACUAGGAUGUUGGCUCAGAAGCAGCCACCAUUUAAAGAGUGCGUAAUAGCUCACUAGUCGAGUGGCACUGCGCCGAAAAUAUACCGGGGCUAAGCAUAAUACCGAAACUGUGGGUGCACCCAUAAGGGUGCGCGGUAGGAGAGCGUUCUAAGGGCGUUGAAGGUCGAUCGUGAGGACGGCUGGAGCGCUUAGAAGUGAGAAUGCCGGCAUGAGUAGCGAAAGAUCAGUGAGAAUCUGAUCCACCGUAUGACUAAGGUUUCCUGGGGAAGGCUCGUCCUCCCAGGGUUAGUCGGGAUCUAAGGCGAGGCCGAGAGGCGUAGUCGAUGACAAGCAGGUUGAGAUUCCUGCACUAGUUUAUUUUGUUUAAGCGAUGGAGGGACGCAGGAGGCUAAGGAAAGCGCACGGCUGGAAAUGUGCGCCCAAGCAGCAAGUCUGACAGCGAGUGAAAUGCUUGCAGUCUUAAGGACAAGCUGUGAUGGGGAGCGAAAUUAUAGUAGCGAAGUUCCUGAUGUCACACUGCCAAGAAAAGCUUCUAGUGAGAAAUAAACUACCCGUACCGCAAACCGACACAGGUAGUCGAGGAGAGUAUCCUCAGGUGAGCGAGCGAACUCUCGUUAAGGAACUCGGCAAAAUGACCCCGUAACUUCGGAAGAAGGGGUGCUGACCGCAAGGUCAGCCGCAGUGAAUAGGCCCAAACAACUGUUUAUCAAAAACACAGGUCUCUGCUAAAUCGUAAGAUGAUGUAUAGGGGCUGACGCCUGCCCGGUGCUGGAAGGUUAAGAGGAUGAGUUAGCGCAAGCGAAGCCCAGAAUUGAAGCCCCAGUAAACGGCGGCCGUAACUAUAACGGUCCUAAGGUAGCGAAAUUCCUUGUCGGGUAAGUUCCGACCCGCACGAAAGGCGUAAUGAUUUGGGCACUGUCUCAACGAGAGACUCGGUGAAAUUAUAGUACCCGUGAAGAUGCGGGUUACCCGCGACAGGACGGAAAGACCCCAUGGAGCUUUACUGUAGCUUGAUAUUGAGUGUUUGUACCGCUUGUACAGGAUAGGUAGGAGCCGUAGAGAUCGGAACGCUAGUUUCGAUGGAGGCGUUGGUGGGAUACUACCCUAGCUGUAUGAACACUCUAACCCGCGCCACUAAUCGUGGCGGGAGACAGUGUCAGGUAGGCAGUUUGACUGGGGCGGUCGCCUCCUAAAAUGUAACGGAGGCGCCCAAAGGUUCCCUCAGAAUGGUUGGAAAUCAUUCGCAGAGUGUAAAGGUAUAAGGGAGCUUGACUGCGAGACUGACAAGUCGAGCAGGGACGAAAGUCGGGCUUAGUGAUCCGGUGGUUCCGUAUGGAAGGGCCAUCGCUCAACGGAUAAAAGCUACCCUGGGGAUAACAGGCUUAUCUCCCCCAAGAGUCCACAUCGACGGGGAGGUUUGGCACCUCGAUGUCGGCUCAUCGCAUCCUGGGGCUGUAGUCGGUCCCAAGGGUUGGGCUGUUCGCCCAUUAAAGCGGUACGCGAGCUGGGUUCAGAACGUCGUGAGACAGUUCGGUCCCUAUCCGUCGCGGGCGCAGGAAAUUUGAGAGGAGCUGUCCUUAGUACGAGAGGACCGGGAUGGACGUUCCGCUGGUGUACCAGUUGUGCCGCCAGGCGCAUCGCUGGGUAGCUAUGAACGGCAGGGAUAAACGCUGAAAGCAUCUAAGUGUGAAGCCCCCCUCGAGAUGAGAUUUCCCAUUCCUAUAUGGAAGUAAGACCCCUGAGAGAUGAUCAGGUAGAUAGGCUGGAAGUGGAAGUGCAGCGAUGCAUGGAGCGGACCAGUACUAAUCGGUCGAGGACUUAACCAA
RNAcentral lists this ribosomal RNA (2515 nucleotides) under Lacticaseibacillus paracasei ATCC 334. RNAcentral's name for it is "bacterial LSU rRNA". It matches the Rfam family "Bacterial large subunit ribosomal RNA", at positions 401 to 2925 of the family's 2925-position model. The record is from RNAcentral. Lineage: Bacteria; Bacillati; Bacillota; Bacilli; Lactobacillales; Lactobacillaceae.